Small nuclear RNA from Rattus norvegicus (Norway rat), 63 nucleotides. Ensembl annotates it as U7 small nuclear RNA. The record is from Ensembl. Lineage: Eukaryota; Metazoa; Chordata; Mammalia; Rodentia; Muridae.
AGCAGUUAUGGCUCUUAAAGUAUUUUUUCUAGCAGGUUUUCUGAUUUUGGUUGGAAAAUCCAA